Non-coding RNA from Desulfovibrio piger ATCC 29098, 2160 nucleotides. NCBI's taxonomy places the organism in Bacteria, Pseudomonadati, Thermodesulfobacteriota, Desulfovibrionia, Desulfovibrionales, Desulfovibrionaceae. The record is from Rfam.
AGACAAGUUGACAAGAGCAUCGGGUGGAUGCCUUGGCGUCGGAAGGCGAUGAAAGACGUGGUAAGCUGCGAAAAGCCUCGGGGAGAAGCUAAACAUUCUGUGAUCCGGGGAUUUCUGAAUGGGGAAACCCGGCGGAGGUCAUGCUCCGUCGCGGGCACUUGAAUACAUAAAGUGUCCAGCGCCAACUCAGGGAAGUGAAACAUCUCAGUACCUGAAGGAAAAGAAAUCAAACGAGACUCCCAAAGUAGCGGCGAGCGAAAUGGGAUGAGCCCAAACCGGCUGGAUUCGUUCAGCCGGGGUUGUAGGGCCGGCAUAUGUGAUUCAUGAGUAGGCAGGGGAAAUGAGCUGGAAAGCUCUGCCAGAGCGGGUGACAGCCCCGUACCUGAAACCCAAAGCGACACAGCCGGUACCUGAGUACCGCGAGACACGUGGAACCUCGUGGGAAUCCGGGAGGACCAUCUUCCAAGGCUAAGUACUAACCGACGACCGAUAGUGUACCAGUACCGUGAGGGAAAGGUGAAAAGAACCUCUGUUAGAGGAGUGAAAUAGAAUCUGAAACCUGGUGCUUACAAGCUGUGAGAGCGGACUUGUUCCGUGAUCACGUGCCUUUUGCAUAAUGAGUCAGCGAGUUAAUCUGUACUGCAAGGUUAAGCGUGAGUGGAGCCGUAGGGAAACCGAGUCUGACAAGGGCGAUGAGUAGUGCGGAUUAGACCCGAAACCGGGUGAUCUAUCCAUGAGCAGGUUGAAGCAAGGGUAAAACCUUGUGGAGGACCGAACCAAUACCGGCUGAAAACGGUUUGGAUGACUUGUGGAUAGGGGUGAAAGGCCAAUCAAACCCGGUGAUAGCUGGUUCUCCCCGAAAUAUAUUGAGGUAUAGCCUCAUGGAUUGUCUACCGGAGGUAAAGCACUGACAGGGCUAGGGGUCCUACCAGAUUACCAAACCCUAUCAAACUCAGAAUGCCGGUCAGAUGUACCAUGGGAGUCAGACGGCGGGUGCUAAGGUCCGUCGUCGAGAGGGUAAGAGCCCAGAUCAACAGCUAAGGUCUCCAAAUCUAUGCUCAGUGGUUAAGGUGGUGACGUUGUAGAGACACCCAGGACGUUGGCUUAGAAGCAGCCAUCGUUUAAAGAAAGCGUAAUAGCUCACUGGUCUAAUGACGUUGCGCCGAAAAUGUAACGGGGCUAAGCAUAGUACCGAAGCUUUGAAUUCCGCGAAUGCGGUCUGGUAGGGGAGCGUUCUUCACGGGCUGAAGGUGUGUCGUAAGGCAUGCUGGACUGUGGAGAAGUGAUUAUGCUGACAUGAGUAACGAUAAAACGGGUGAAAAACCCGUUCGCCGUAAACCCAAGGUUUUCCGGGUAAAGGUAAUCUUCCCGGAGUUAGUCGGCCCCUAAGGCGAGGCUGAAAGGCGUAGCUGAUGGGAAACGUGUUAAUAUUCACGUACUUGUGUGUUCGCGCGAUGAAGGGACGCAGGAAGAUAGGCAAGCCGGGCGCUGGUUGUCCCGGUGCAAGCGUGUAGGGAUGAGAAGUUGGCAAAUCCGCUUCUCUCUAUCCUGAGACGCGAGUCCGUGACCGAAAGGUCUGAAGUUGUUGAGUCUAUGCUGCCUAGAAAAGCUUCUAAGUAUAGGACACGCAAACCGUACCGGAAACCAACUCAGGUGGGUGGGAUGAAUAAUCCAAGGCGCUCGAGAGAACUCUGGCCAAGGAACUCGGCAAAAUAACCCCGUACCUUCGGAAGAAGGGGUGCUUUUUAGGGUGAAGCGAUUCACUCUGUCGAGCCCUGAAAAGCCGCAGAGAAAUGGUGGUGGCGACUGUUUACUAAAAACAUAGGUCUGUGCCAAGUCGUAUAGACGACGUAUACGGACUGACGCCUGCCCGGUGCUGGAAGGUUAAAAGGAGGAGUCAGCGCAAGCGAAGCUCCGAAUUGAAGCCCCAGUAAACGGCGGCCGUAACUAUAACGGUCCUAAGGUAGCGAAAUUCCUUGUCGGGUAAGUUCCGACCUGCACGAAUGGCGUAACGAUCUCCACACUGUCUCGGCCAGAGACUCGGUGAAAUUGAAGUCGCGGUGAAAAUGCCGUGUACCCGCAGAAAGACGGAAAGACCCUGUGCACCUUUACUAUAGCUUGACAUUGGGAUUUGAGCCUGCAUGUGUAGCAUAGGUGGGA